Long non-coding RNA from Xiphophorus couchianus (Monterrey platyfish), 1403 nucleotides. RefSeq lists it as uncharacterized. The record is from RefSeq and is a predicted model, not a curated record. NCBI's taxonomy places the organism in Eukaryota, Metazoa, Chordata, Actinopteri, Cyprinodontiformes, Poeciliidae. The transcript is spliced from 2 exons.
CCCUGAUAAUUGACUAUUGUCCUAGAUUAUUACAGUGGACUUGCAGGUGUUACUCAAAAGUCAUCUCAUGCUGAAUUAAACUGCAUGGAAGCUGCGAACUAACUCCUAAUAGUCAUUUUAAAACGUGCAUGACCUUGAUUGUUCAUCUCCUACAGACAUGUAAUAAUAUCACCAUACAGCGAACUCUGUAAGUUAGCCAGAAAUAGAAAUACAGAAUGAUUGUUUGCUGCAUGGCUCACAUUGUUAACUGAGCAAAAAUGUGCAUUGUUCCUUUAUACUCAUCACUCUACGUGGCUGCAAGAAGUCAGAGAAGUGCGCAUUUUGCUGUUUACUGUGAACCAGGUGGUGUUGCAGGCAAACUUACCAUUUGGUCUCAUAACAACUACAAGCUUUAUUUUAUCUCAUAUGUAUUUGAUGUGAUUGACAGAGACGAAAAGUGGUUCAAUUUACUUCAACGCAAUUCAAAAACACUUUAUUGAUCCCAAAGGGAAGCUAAAUGUUGUAAGUCAUAUCCAAGUUUUCUUCAGAGUUUUUGUAGAUGCUGAAUGCUGUGAGCAAGAAGGAUCUCCUGUAGGAGUCUGUAUUACUGCGAGUCUGAAGAAGCUUCUGACUGAAGGCACUCAACUGUUUUUGUCUAAUAGUCUCAUGAACAAGAUGGUCCAUGAUUUUCUUGAUUUUAUGAAAAAUUCUUCUUUGCAACAUAAUCUCCAGAUUCCACAGUUGUUCAAGUAGUUGUGAAAAAGAACAAAAAUUACGUUUUUCUACAAUGAAAGUGAGGGAAAAGGUUGUUUUAAGUCACCCAUAUUUCAUUACAGUUAUUGUUACAAAGGUUUUCUUAAAAUAGAAAAGGUACAGCACAAAGUUACCAUCAUAUAUCGACCACUUUUAAUUUAAUUUGAUAUUUUUGUUUUCAGGGAACUUAUAACAGUUUAACUUUUACCUGUAUUCCUGUCCUGGAUUUGAUCAGUGUCAUUUUCUGGACCAUUCCUGCAUUUGCCUAACAAAUAUUAAUAGAAUAUAUGUUGUGUCUAGCAGAACCAUAACAUUAAAUUAAAAGAAAAAAAUAAAAUGCCCAAUCUUAUCACAAAAAAACCCCAAUUACAUCGACAUAGAUUUGAUUUUAAAUUUAGAGAAUAAAAAUAGUCCUCUUCGGCAGAGUAGUGGAGUCUUCUAGUCUCUAUCUCUUUAACUAUCUCACCCUUUCCUGGAAAACUAAAUAGGCUAUAUGAUUUAUUUAAUAAUGCAGAAAUAUAGCUGUUGAUUAAAUAUUCAUCAGUGUCCAGGUAAAGGUACAAGUACGUCACCUUCCAGUUCAUCAAGAAUGGCAAUGUGCAGAUUGUUUAUGAACUGCUAUAAUGUCUCAUUAAACAUGUCUGAGAAUAAAUAUAAAUUGUAUCAUUGCA